AGCGAACGCUGGCGGCAGGCCUAACACAUGCAAGUCGAGCGCCGUAGCAAUACGGUGCGGCAGACGGGAGAGUAACACGUGGGAACGUGCCCUUCAGUUCAGAACAACCCAGGGAAACUUGGGCUAAUACCGAAUACGUCCGUAAGGAGAAAGAUUUAUCGCUGAAGGAUCGGCCCGCGUCUGAUUAGCUAGUUGGUGAGGUAACGGCUCACCAAGGCGACGAUCAGUAGCUGGUCUGAGAGGAUGAUCAGCCUCACUGGGACUGAGACACGGCCCAGACUCCUACGGGAGGCAGCAGUGGGGAAUAUUGGACAAUGGGCGCAAGCCUGAUCCAGCCAUGCCGCGUGGAUGAUGAAGGCCCUAGGGUUGUAAAGUCCUUUUAACGGGGAAGAUAAUGACGGUACCCGUAGAAUAAGCCCCGGCUAACUUCGUGCCAGCCGCCGCAGUAA
This 449-nucleotide ribosomal RNA is filed under the name uncultured bacterium. Its description in RNAcentral is "partial 16S ribosomal RNA". It matches the Rfam family "Bacterial small subunit ribosomal RNA", at positions 29 to 523 of the family's 1533-position model. The record is from RNAcentral.